This 752-nucleotide unclassified non-coding RNA is filed under the name Tolpis barbata. RNAcentral describes it as "partial external transcribed spacer". Lineage: Eukaryota; Viridiplantae; Streptophyta; Magnoliopsida; Asterales; Asteraceae. The record is from RNAcentral.
ACCCCGAUCCCAAGCACCAAGGAGCCGACGAUUUGGAUCAAAACCUACAUCCCAAGCACCAAGGUGCCUGGUUGAUAUGGUUCACGAUCCCGAUCUGGAGCUCCAGGGCGCCGAGGAUUUCGAUCAAGAUCCCGAUCUGAAGCCCCGAGUAGCCGAGGAUAUGGAUCAAGACCCCGGUCCGAAGCGACAAGGAGGCAAGGAUUUGGAUCACCACUCCGAUCAAAGGCACCAAGGCGUCAAGGGAUUGGAUCGAGAUCCCGGUCCCAAUCAUGAAGUAGGCUAUGUUAUUUCCUGUUUUCCACACCGUUCAGGGCAUUUUGGUGGUCGUAUCGGCUUUUUGUUGCUUGCUUGGCGUUAGUGCCAAGGGAGUGGCUGGAAGCUAGGUCGUUCUCUGGAAUGCUUGUUGUAAAGGUGUAUGAGUUGUGUUUGGCUUGUUACGGGUGUUUGUUGGCUGCUUGUGCAGGAACUUUCAUGCGUCCAAGCCUCUUCAGUUGUGCUACAAGGCCUUGUUUGUCUUGUGCAUACGGUGGGUUUCCUGUGUUGCAUACCUAAUCAAGGGCAUCGUAUGGCUUGAUCGAAGUAAAUAUUCGUAAUGCGCUGCUUGCGGCGUUGAACGAACCUCGAAGUGGUCUCUGUGGCCCAUGUUGUCCUUGCUCAUGCAUGGAUGGCAUGGCCCUCGGAGCGUCGCUUGGUCUCUUGGAUACGGAACCUGAUGAUGUGGGCGGUAGGGUCUUUGAUGAUUCUACCUUCGC